RNAcentral lists this long non-coding RNA (2708 nucleotides) under Homo sapiens (human). RNAcentral describes it as "non-protein coding lnc-PAICS-3:3". The record is from RNAcentral. Lineage: Eukaryota; Metazoa; Chordata; Mammalia; Primates; Hominidae.
AGACCCCGAUGUAUCAAAUCCGAGGUCAGGCAGUGGUCCUGAAGCUGAGCAAAUGUAUGUGGAAGCAGGCUCAGGCCUAGCGGCACUUCGCCUCCUUCACACAGACCCCCGCCGGACACCGCGCCCUGCCGCGACUCACUUAGCAAGUCUCGCGGAUUAGGUUUGAUCGCAUUCGGCCCUUUCCCGGAUAGCUCGUCGCGGAUACUUCUCACAGCGAAGCAGCAGCUCCCAGAAGCCGUAAAGCUAUCCCAGAGCGAGGCACCAUACGUAAAUCUUCCGCGUCGCUACGUGACGUCAGUGCGAGCGACCCCGGGCCGGCUGCGUGGAGCUGGCGCUGCCUCUCCUGAAGCCGAGGCGCUAACUUGAGUGAAGAGGUCUAUAGGCUUUUUCACUUUUGGUUAUCUGCUCAGGCGCUCCUUGGGGUCGCGCAUGGUCUCGGACAGGGUUUGCAAGGACUUCGGAGCUAACCAGUUUGGAGCCAUAACCCUUUCGUACUUGCCAAAAAACUCUGGGCAAGACUCUUGAAUUUUGAGCCGCAGUAUUCUCGUUCAUAAGGUGAGAAUAAAAACAUCACCUAGGGUUGAUGUGAAGAGAGAUGAAAUCAUUGUGAAAUAGGAGAGUUAUUGCUUUCAACCAAUGACAUUUUCUGGAAACGUGCUGGAGAUAUGGCUGCAGCAGUGACGCCUGCAAACGACGUUCCUGUCAUCAUGAUGCUGACAUUUUAAUUGGGAAGCAGAUUGAAACGAUAACUAAGGAAUUUGACAGGAGCAUUUAGUAGGACCUGUAAAGAAAUUAAAGCAGGUCCGAGGUGGAGUUUUGUAAACUAUAUGCCUGAAUAGAACUUUCUGUUUCCAAGGGAAUUGUUACAGUUGGAGACAUGUCAAUUAUUACAAUAAGCGUCAAGGGCAAUAACAGAGGUGUUUUAAAGCUACUGUCUGGUGGCAGAAUAAUCGGGAUUUUUUUGUUUGGGGGGUUUUAGCCGGGGGAGGGACUGCGAAGACAGCUCUGCAUCAAAACAGUACGUGAGAAAAAAGCAUAGGACGCUCUCGCAGCCGUAGUUGUUGGUGACAAGAAACUGUGCUUCUAAUCUAAGCAAAAAAUAUCUCCACAUGCCAACUAUACUUUUCCAAGAUGUACCAUGGACUACUCAAACUAACACAGCCUUAUUUAUGUAUUUAGGUUGGAAGUGGGCAAAAGUGUAUCUUGUCUAUGUUUCUAUGUUUCUACGUUGGGAUGACACCAUCAUCCACCCAGCCAGACAGUUAUCAACCUUCCCACUUUCUUAACCUCUUACAUCCGAUUAGACCCUAUGUCCUCUAGUUCUCAGUCUUGAGACCAGCACCCAGCUGGCUACAUCAGAAUUGCCGGUGGUGAUGUUUUAGAAGAUUCCAAAUUCCUGGACUCCAUCCCCGGAGGUUCAUCCCCUAGUUUUCUAGUGAGGGGCCUAGAACCUGCGUUUUUUAAGUGUCAUGUUCAUCGCCAUUACUGCUACUUUAGUUCAGGUCUUCUUGGUCAGCUUUUUCCUAAAACGUUUUCAGUUUUGUUUGCCUCUGAUUGACUCUGAAUUGCUGCCAAAAUGAUGUUUUAUUAUUCCAGUAUCAUCAUCCAACUCUCUGAUAUUAAUGAUACCUUUUUUAAAGUUUUUCUUCCCUUGCAGUAUCUAUUUCCCUCAAGUUUCCUUUUUUUUUCUUCUGUUGAUUUUGUGCUCUAUCUUUCACAUUAGAGGCUUUCCUAGGAUGUCUGGUGGUCCUUAUCUGCUCAUAUGUAAGUGGGGGUAUAUUUAAAAGUUGAUUGGAAGCUGUUGAGCCCAUGGGACGUUUGUUGAAAAUCAAGUGGGAGAGGAGGGGUAUGGAGGCUGCGGUAUGUCUCAGAAUUUAGUACAAUUUUCACUUAAUUCUCUUUGUUUUAGGUGCCUGAUGUCCUCCAUUACAGAGACCCCGUUUUACUCCUGAGCAAUAAAAAAAGGCUUCAGAAUAAGGCGGGGGCCGGGGGUGGCAUAAAGGAUAUAACACUCUCCUAAAUGAACUUCCAGUCCUUUUAGGUACCCUCUUCACUUCUACUUCCUGAAGCCAGUUUCUUAGUUUUUUAGGGGGUUCUGUGAUACAAAUAGAAUUGCUUGUUGGUUUUGCUCACUGGGGGUUUAGAAUUCAGGUUUUUCAAGUCAACUGAGCCCUUUGCUAUUGAUUCCAGAAUUUCAUUUCCAUUAUUCCUUUUCUUUAAUCCUUAAGGGUGUAUGACUUUAAAAAUCCUGUUACUGUCAUUUUCAGGGAGUCUUAGGGAGCAAAUGUAGAACACUAUGUUUAAGACAGCAUUUUUACCUGAUAAUCCAAGGUGAUCAUUCUAAAACAUAUACCAGAUCAGUCAUAGCAUUCUUCUAUGAGAAUAAGAAGCUUCAAUGAUCCCUCGUUGCCUGCAUAACAUUCAGACUCUUCAGCAAGGUAAACAAGAGAGUUCAUUUUCUUUCCAACCUGAUAUCUCACAGCAGGCCACUGCUCCCCCACCCAUCUUCCACAUUCCCCACACCUGAUACUGUAAACUCUAGUCAUAAUGAAAGGCUAGUAAGAGUUCUGAGAAUACAAAGUCCUUAUCAUGUUUCCACACCUGUUUUGGCUGGGCUCAGGCUGAAAUACCCUUCUUUCUCCAUGCCUGCUUGAUGAAAAUACAGCUUAAACAUGACUUCCUCAGUGAUGCCUUUCUUCAAGCCCUAA